This 433-nucleotide ribosomal RNA is filed under the name uncultured bacterium. RNAcentral describes it as "partial 16S ribosomal RNA". It matches the Rfam family "Bacterial small subunit ribosomal RNA", at positions 29 to 507 of the family's 1533-position model. The record is from RNAcentral.
AACGAACGCUGGCGGCAUGCCUAACACAUGCAAGUCGAACGAGACCUUCGGGUCUAGUGGCGCACGGGUGCGUAACGCGUGGGAACCUGCCCUUAGGUUCGGAAUAACUCCCCGAAAGGGGUGCUAAUACCGGAUAAUGUCUUCGGACCAAAGAUUUAUCGCCUUUGGAUGGGCCCGCGUUGGAUUAGCUAGUUGGUAGGGUAAAAGCCUACCAAGGCGACGAUCCAUAGCUGGUCUGAGAGGAUGAUUAGCCACACUGGGACUGAGACACGGCCCAGACUCCUACGGGAAGCAGCAGUGGGGAAUAUUGGACAAUGGGCGAAAGCCUGAUCCAGCAAUGCCGCGUGAGUGAUGAAGGCCUUAGGGUUGUAAAGCUCUUUUACCCGGGAUGAUAAUGACAGUACCGGGAGAAUAAGCUCCGGCUAACUCCGUG